RNAcentral lists this transfer RNA (67 nucleotides) under Nephotettix cincticeps (green rice leafhopper). RNAcentral describes it as "tRNA-Val". The record is from RNAcentral. Lineage: Eukaryota; Metazoa; Arthropoda; Insecta; Hemiptera; Cicadellidae.
CAGGUUAUAGCUUAUCAAUUAAAGCUUUUUAUUUACAUUAAUAUGAAAACUAGUUAGUUUAAUCUGA